RNAcentral lists this ribosomal RNA (483 nucleotides) under uncultured bacterium. Its description in RNAcentral is "partial 16S ribosomal RNA". It matches the Rfam family "Bacterial small subunit ribosomal RNA", at positions 30 to 506 of the family's 1533-position model. The record is from RNAcentral.
AUUGAACGCUGGCGGCAGGCCUAACACAUGCAAGUCGAGCGGAUGAAGGGAGCUUGCUCCUGGAUUCAGCGGCGGACGGGUGAGUAAUGCCUAGGAAUCUGCCUGGUAGUGGGGGAUAACGUCCGGAAACGGGCGCUAAUACCGCAUACGUCCUGAGGGAGAAAGUGGGGGAUCUUCGGACCUCACGCUAUCAGAUGAGCCUAGGUCGGAUUAGCUAGUUGGUGGGGUAAAGGCCUACCAAGGCGACGAUCCGUAACUGGUCUGAGAGGAUGAUCAGUCAAACUGGAAAGUAGAACCGGUCCAGACCCCUAGGGGAGGCAGCAGGGGGGAAUUUUGGACAAUGGGCGAAAGCCUGACCCAGCCAGGCCGGGGGUGUGAAGAAGGUCUUCGGAUUGUAAAGCAUUUUAAGUUGGGGGGAAGGGCAGUAAGUUAAUACCUUGCUGUUUUGGCUUUACCAACAGAAAAAGCACCGGCUAACUUCGU